This 301-nucleotide ribosomal RNA is filed under the name uncultured bacterium. RNAcentral describes it as "partial 16S ribosomal RNA". It matches the Rfam family "Bacterial small subunit ribosomal RNA", at positions 509 to 807 of the family's 1533-position model. The record is from RNAcentral.
CAGUAGCCGCGGGAAUACGAAGGGUGCAAGCGUUAAUCGGAAUUACUGGGCGUAAAGCGUGCGUAGGCGGAUAUUUAAGUCAGGGGUGAAAUCCCAGAGCUCAACUCUGGAACUGCCUUUGAUACUGGGUAUCUUGAGUAUGGAAGAGGUGAGUGGAAUUCCGAGUGUAGAGGUGAAAUUCGUAGAUAUUCGGAGGAACACCAGUGGCGAAGGCGGCUCACUGGUCCAUUACUGACGCUGAGGUGCGAAAGCGUGGGGAGCAAACAGGAUUAGAUACCCCCGUAGUCCCUGUCUCUUAUAC